This 506-nucleotide ribosomal RNA is filed under the name uncultured bacterium. RNAcentral's name for it is "partial 16S ribosomal RNA". It matches the Rfam family "Bacterial small subunit ribosomal RNA", at positions 28 to 523 of the family's 1533-position model. The record is from RNAcentral.
GAUGAACGCUAGCGGCAGGCUUAAUACAUGCAAGUCGUGGGGCAGCAGGGGUGUAGCAAUACAUCUGCUGGCGACCGGCAAACGGGUGCGUAACACGUACGCAACCUUCCCGUUACUGUGGCAUAGCCCAGGGAAACUUGGAUUAAUACCACAUAUUAUAUAGAGAGGGCAUCCUUUUUAUAUCAAAGCUUUCGGACGGUAACGGAUGGGCGUGCGGUUGAUUAGGUAGCUGGCGGGGUAACGGCCCACCAAGCCUACGAUCAAUAGCUGAUGUGAGAGCAUGAUCAGCCACACGGGCACUGAGACACGGGCCCGACUCCUACGGGAGGCAGCAGUAAGGAAUAUUGGGCAAUGGACGAAAGUCUGACCCAGCCAUGCCGCGUGAAGGAUUAAGGUCCUCUGGAUUGUAAACUUCUUUUCUCUGGGGCGAAAACCAGCUAUUCCUAGCUAUUUGACAGUACCAGAGGAAUAAGCACCGGCUAACUCCGUGCCAGCCGCCGCGGUAA